CUGCCAGAUGUCAGGACCACCAGCCUCCGACAGUGUGAAAGCCUUGAAAAAUUAGUGGGGAAAACAGCUUUACCAAACCACAGUUAAAAGUCUCCUCCGCCUCUCCAUUCUUUCUGCAUUUUGAAGCAGGGUUUGUUUUGUAUCCAGGCUUAUGCACAACUUUUGUAAGCAGCAAUAGCAGUUUUGUGGGCACUUGAAAUGGGAGAGAAUUCUAAAGUCGCUGCCUCAUAUUAAACACCAAGAAUGGGGAGGAUUGCCUCUUAGUCCAGAGUCAAAGAUAUCUGAAUUAAAAACCAUGAGAAUUUUAA
Symphalangus syndactylus (siamang) is the source of this 308-nucleotide long non-coding RNA. RefSeq lists it as uncharacterized. Lineage: Eukaryota; Metazoa; Chordata; Mammalia; Primates; Hylobatidae. The record is from RefSeq and is a predicted model, not a curated record.